RNAcentral lists this transfer RNA (74 nucleotides) under Schistocephalus solidus. It matches the Rfam family "tRNA". Rfam says of the family: Transfer RNA (tRNA) molecules are approximately 80 nucleotides in length. Their secondary structure includes four short double-helical elements and three loops (D, anti-codon, and T loops). Further hydrogen bonds mediate the characteristic L-shaped molecular structure. tRNAs have two regions of fundamental functional importance: the anti-codon, which is responsible for specific mRNA codon recognition, and the 3' end, to which the tRNAs corresponding amino acid is attached (by aminoacyl-tRNA synthetases). tRNAs cope with the degeneracy of the genetic code in two manners: having more than one tRNA (with a specific anti-codon) for a particular amino acid; and 'wobble' base-pairing, i.e. permitting non-standard base-pairing at the 3rd anti-codon position. Lineage: Eukaryota; Metazoa; Platyhelminthes; Cestoda; Diphyllobothriidea; Diphyllobothriidae. The record is from Rfam by way of RNAcentral.
GAGCCCGUGGCUCAAUGGUUAGAGCGUUGAACUUCUGAUCAACAGAUUUCUGGGUUCGAACCUCGGCUGGUGCA